UGAAAAGCUCGCUUGUUCUUCUGUGAUGAGCACCCGAUUGAGAAGUUUUUGAGGACAAACCCAGGCUUGGGUUGGCAUGAUUUUACUCCGCAAUCACUGACCCUCCCUUAUUUUCCUAGCCAUGCCAAGCUUGUUGACUUAGAAAAAGCAUUAGUUACAAGCUGCUGUUGUUGUUGUUGUGAUUCAAAUACCCAUUACACUUGGUUUUGCGAUUCUGCAGGAGAACGGACAAUUCUUCGGAGACGCCACGUAAGGCAAUGAGGGCUGCUGGGUCACCAUGUCUACAACACGUCAUCAGACGUUUCAAAUACAGGUGGGUGGAUGGAGACGAGGGCAAAAGGUCAGCAGUUGUUGCAUCUGGAUGGAGGCUUCACAAGUGGUUGUAUGUAUGUUCUUUCCGUUGUUCUCUAUGUUUGGAAAUUGUCGAGUAAAAAGGUGGGGAAAAUACUAUCUGGGUAAGGUAAGAGGAACAGCUGUCCUCUCGUGGCUGGCAGUUUUGGGCUCUAGCCGAGGACUUCCCUUCUUGUGCCUCAAGGUGCAGUGUUUCCCCUAUACCUCGGGGCUCUUUAAAACUUGGGCAUAGUGGCUGUUCACGACAGGUUUCCAUUUUCUGCUGUCUGCCCUGGGGCCACCUCUGUGCCUCUCACUGGCUUCAUCCUCGGCCGGUUGGACCUUCUGAGGAGCUACCAGACCCUGCCCUGGCUGCCAUGGCAACGGAGGAGCAGCCCCUGGAGGAACAUGAAAGAGAAUGGAGAGCCUCUUAUUUUUAAGAUUCCUAGACAUCCGUGGGCUCUGGCAGCGUGGCCAGAGGCAGGUCAGAACAUUCCCCGGGCCAGCAAGCUGUGACCGCCACGGGGCAAACCCAACUGGGACGGAGGCCUGGGCAGGCACCUUCCUGGGGUAUUGGGGCAGGAGCAAGCAGAAAGCCCUAUCUUCACCCACUGCACCCCGUGCCAGCCUCCUUGCUGACCUUGCCUGAAGGUCCCUCCAUCAGUCACCGCAAGCAAAGAGCGGGUGCUGACAUUAAGCCUUGGAGGUUGUUUGAAAAGCUAAUCUUGCCUUAGAAGGCGCCGGGGCUGGUGUGAGAGGAGUCCUUGGACACCCGCAGACAGAAGAUCAUCUAGGGACACGGGAGAAGAUGGCCAGCUACAAGCCAAGGAGAGAGGCUUCUGAAGCAACCAACCCUGCAGACAUGAUCUUGAACUUGUAAACCUCCAGGACACAAAUUUCAGUUGUUCCAGCCUCCCAGUCUGUGAUGCCUGUCAUGGUGGCCUUAGCCCACUAACACAGUCCCUGUCCCCGGAAUGUCCUGUCUGGUGCCCCAUCUUCUCAUCUCUCUCCACUCUGGGGUCUUCCCUCCCGGGCCACCAGCCCCGGCUUUCACAGUCUCUGAGACAGUUGCGAAUGCAAGCCUGGUCAGGACGUUUCUUGAACUGCGGGUGUGCUGGAACCUUCUGGGGAAUGGAGCACAAUGAGCAUGAGCAGGGGGGCUCCGGAGCGCUUCCUGAGAAGUUCUCUGCAGCUGAACACAGUCCUCACUGAGACACAGCUCUUCCUAUGCAAAGUCUGGUAGCUCCCUCUGAAAUCUCAGCACCUACCCCAGCCCCAGAGCAGCCUGGCCCAUGGAUGGUUGGGCCUCUUCCCUGACCCCACCGCACGGAGGUGAUGGCCCGAAGGUAUGGGAUCGCAGGUUUAGAGAAGGUGAGUGACUUGCCUUGUAUCGCACAGCUAACAAGGAACAGAGUCAAGGGCCAAAGUCAGAUCUUUUGUCGCAGGGGCACCUUUUCUUCUCUGAUACUAGAGCUGUGGGUGUGGGGGGCUGGCGAGCAGAGAUGAGGGGGUUCACAGCCCAAUGAAUCUGCUAUGAUUUCCUAGGAAUAACAGAUCAAAUCCUCACUGAAGGUUUUGUCAAAUGUUGCCUGAACAAGGCCUACCUUGACUGUUCAAAAUUUCAACCCUUAUUUCCGGAGUCCUCUCACCUUGCUCUCUCUUUUUUUAAAAUUUCAUAGAAUUGAUCACCUUCCAGGACACCAUACGGUUUACUUACGUUGUGUUGGCUGUGUGAUGUCUAUGCCUUUCUCCCCACCCCCAGGACGAAGCCCCACACAGAUAAGAGUCUGGGUCUGCUUUGUUCUUUAAUGCCUUUCUAAAAGCCUGGAAGCAUUUCUGGCAUAGAGAAAGCAUUUGCUGACUGGAAUUAAUAGCUAUGUGUCCUAAGCACCAGCUGUUCUGGGCUGACUUGUGUCCCCCCCAGUUUGCAUGUUGAAGUCCUAACCCCAGGACCUCCGAAUGUGAACCGUAUUUUGAUAUGGGUCUUUGGAGAGGUAGUUAAGUUAAAAGGAGGUCAGUAGUGUGGGCCCGGAUCCAAUAUGACUGGUGUCCUCGUAAGAAGAACUGAUUAGGGACCCAGAAUGCAGAGAAGGAAGACGAUGUGAAGACACAACAGGAAGAUGCCCAACCACGAGCCCAGGAGAGAAGCCUUAGAAGAAACCAUCCGUGCUGACAUCCUGAUCUCGGACUCCCAGCCUCAGAAUCAUGAGACAUAAAUCUCUGUAGUUUAGGCCACCCACCACGUCCGUGGUCCUUUGCUAUGGUGGCCCUAGCACACAGAUACAGCAGCCAUACCUGACACAGUUUGGAGGGGUUUGUACGUGUUGUCUCAUUUGAUCUUAACCACGAUCUGAAGAGAUAGUACCUACUUUGCAGACGCAGAAACUAAGGCCAGGAAAUGUUGAUGCGGGGGCCUGAGGAGGCCUACGUGUUGGGGUGCUGGGCCUCAUGGGGCUGGGGUGGGGGAGCCCGGGUUGCUGACCCAACAAGGGCCCCUCCUUAUCUGGAGUUCUGUGGGCAAUCAGGCCAGUCGUCCCUCUGCCCCACUCCCAAACACACCUCGAAACAGGCCCGUGCUAGCCCCUCACACCCCAACCUGCUCUACAGGUUUUUUUUAAUAUUUACUUUUUUAAAAUAAUUUUUUAAUUUUUUUAAUAUUUAUUUUUUU
Molecule: long non-coding RNA, 2998 nt
Organism: Lynx canadensis (Canada lynx)
Lineage: Eukaryota; Metazoa; Chordata; Mammalia; Carnivora; Felidae
Exons: 4
Source: RefSeq, a predicted model, not a curated record